CCUACGGGUGGCUGCGGUGGGGAAUAUUGGACAAUGGGCGAAAGCCUGAUCCAGCCAUGCCGCGUGUGUGAAGAAGGCCUUCGGGUUGUAAAGCACUUUCAGUGGGGAAGAAAGCCUUGGGGCUAAUACCCUCGAGGAAGGACAUCACCCACAGAAGAAGCACCGGCUAACUCCGUGCCAGCAGCCGCGGUAAUACGGAGGGUGCGAGCGUUAAUCGGAAUUACUGGGCGUAAAGCGCGCGUAGGCGGUCUGAUAAGCCGGUUGUGAAAGCCCCGGGCUCAACCUGGGAACGGCAUCCGGAACUGUCAGGCUAGAGUGCAGGAGAGGAAGGUAGAAUUCCCGGUGUAGCGGUGAAAUGCGUAGAGAUCGGGAGGAAUACCAGUGGCGAAGGCGGCCUUCUGGACUGACACUGACGCUGAGGUGCGAAAGCGUGGGUAGCAAACAGGAUUAGAUACCCUAGUAGUC
RNAcentral lists this ribosomal RNA (465 nucleotides) under Vreelandella stevensii. Its description in RNAcentral is "partial 16S ribosomal RNA". It matches the Rfam family "Bacterial small subunit ribosomal RNA", at positions 338 to 795 of the family's 1533-position model. The record is from RNAcentral. Lineage: Bacteria; Pseudomonadati; Pseudomonadota; Gammaproteobacteria; Oceanospirillales; Halomonadaceae.